CAGUCGCCGCGGUAAUACGUAGGGUGCAAGCGUUAAUCGGAAUUACUGGGCGUAAAGCGUACGCAGGCGGUCUGUUAAGUCAGAUGUGAAAUCCCCGGGCUUAACCCGGGAACUGCAUUUGAAACUGGCAGGCUAGAGUCUCGUAGAGGGGGGUAGAAUUCCAGGUGUAGCGGUGAAAUGCGUAGAGAUCUGGAGGAAUACCGGUGGCGAAGGCGGCCCCCUGGACGAAGACUGACGCUCAGGUACGAAAGCGUGGGGAGCAAACAGGAUUAGAUACCCCUGUAGUCCCUGUCUCUUAUAC
This 301-nucleotide ribosomal RNA is filed under the name uncultured bacterium. Its description in RNAcentral is "partial 16S ribosomal RNA". It matches the Rfam family "Bacterial small subunit ribosomal RNA", at positions 509 to 807 of the family's 1533-position model. The record is from RNAcentral.